CCGUGAGCGUGCCUGUGAAACUGGGUGACUUGAGGGCAGGAGAGGGGAGUGGAAUUCCCAGUGUAGCGGUGAAAUGCGUAGAUAUUGGGAGGAACACCAGUGGCGAAGGCGGCUCUCUGGCCUGUUUCUGACGCUGAGGCGCGAAAGCGUGGGUAGCGAACGGGAUUAGAUACCCCGGUAGUCCACGCCGUAAACGAUGGGUGCUAGGUGUGGGAGGUAUCGACCCCUUCUGUGCCGUAGCUAACGCAAUAAGCACC
Molecule: ribosomal RNA, 257 nt
Filed under: uncultured bacterium
Lineage: Bacteria
Description: partial 16S ribosomal RNA
Rfam family: Bacterial small subunit ribosomal RNA
Source: RNAcentral